UGUAAGCGUAUACCAAAGUUGUUGCAGUUAAAACGCUCGUAGUCGGAACUUGGCCGUGUCGGAUGAGUGCACGUCGUGUGCGCACUUCGCGGGGAUUGCUUUUGUGGUCUUGCGUAGGAUGAGGCACUUUUAUUAGUGAACGUCCUCACGCAACCACUUUUUACUGUGAGAAAAUCAGAGUGCUCAAAGCAGGCAUUUGCCGUGAAUGUAUUAGCAUGGAAUAAUAGAAUAGGACUUGGUUCUAUUUUGUUGGUUUGUUGGGACUGAGUAAUGAUUAAGAGGGACAGUUGGGGGCAUUUGUAUUUCGGUGCUAGAGGUGAAAUUCUUAGAUUACCGAAAGACAAACUGCUGCGAAAGCGUCUGCCAAGGAUGUUUUCAUUGA
RNAcentral lists this ribosomal RNA (382 nucleotides) under uncultured eukaryote. RNAcentral's name for it is "partial 18S ribosomal RNA". It matches the Rfam family "Eukaryotic small subunit ribosomal RNA", at positions 592 to 976 of the family's 1831-position model. The record is from RNAcentral.